GCACCUGGAUAGCUCAGUUGGUUAGAGUGUGGUGCUGACAAUGCCAAGGUUGCAGGUUCAAUCCCCGGAUGAGACAGAUGCA
RNAcentral lists this transfer RNA (82 nucleotides) under Podarcis lilfordi (Lilford's wall lizard). RNAcentral describes it as "tRNA.Val". The record is from RNAcentral. Lineage: Eukaryota; Metazoa; Chordata; Lepidosauria; Squamata; Lacertidae.